GUUUCCCUGCGGCGUUCGUUCCGGUUCGAUAUUCUUUGAACCAAUAUAUUGCCCUAGGUUGUAUGGCUGGCCGCGCCUGUUGUGCGCAUCGUUUAUCCGAUGUGCCUGAUGGCGUGCCGCUUGCGACCACUUGAACCUUUGGUUCAAGAUGUGAGCCGGGACGGCGCCCGCGGGGAUCCC
This 180-nucleotide non-coding RNA is filed under the name Chitinimonas sp. BJB300. RNAcentral describes it as "6S / SsrS RNA". It matches the Rfam family "6S / SsrS RNA". From Rfam's summary of the family: E. coli 6S RNA was the first non coding RNA to be sequenced, but its function was unknown until recently. It consists of 184 nucleotides that fold into an extended hairpin structure with a large single-stranded internal bulge. The 6S RNA specifically associates with RNA polymerase holoenzyme containing the sigma70 specificity factor. The record is from Rfam by way of RNAcentral. Lineage: Bacteria; Pseudomonadati; Pseudomonadota; Betaproteobacteria; Neisseriales; Chitinibacteraceae.